CAAUAGCGUAUAUUAAAGUUGUUGCGGUUAAAAAGCUCGUAGUUGGAUUUCUGCCGAGGACGACCGGUCCGCCCUCUGGGUGUGUAUCUGGUUUGGCCUGGGCAUCUUCUUGGAGAACGUAGCUGCACUUGACUGUGUGGUGCGGUGUCCAGGACUUUUACUUUGAGGAAAUUAGAGUGUUUCAAGCAGGCACACGCCUUGAAUACAUUAGCAUGGAAUAAUAAGAUAGGACUUUGGUGGUCUAUUUUGUUGGUUUGCACGCCAAAGUAAUGAUUAAUAGGGAUAGUUGGGGGUAUUCGUAUUCAAUUGUCAGAGGUGAAAUUCUUGGAUUUAUGGAAGACGAACUACUGCGAAAGCAUUUACCAAGGAUGUUUUCAUUAA
Molecule: ribosomal RNA, 381 nt
Filed under: uncultured eukaryote
Lineage: Eukaryota
Description: partial 18S ribosomal RNA
Rfam family: Eukaryotic small subunit ribosomal RNA
Source: RNAcentral